Belonocnema kinseyi is the source of this 1530-nucleotide RNA transcript. RefSeq lists it as uncharacterized. NCBI's taxonomy places the organism in Eukaryota, Metazoa, Arthropoda, Insecta, Hymenoptera, Cynipidae. The transcript has 4 exons. The record is from RefSeq and is a predicted model, not a curated record.
AUUUUUUAGUGAUUUCUGGAUCAAAAAUUUUGAAGAAUCUCGAUUUUGAAAAGAUUUUGAACUUUGGUCCAAAAAUUCCAUUUCGGACCAAUUUCCUUGCCACUUGCAUGCAACUGAUGAAAAUUCGUAUUUGAAUCGGUCAGCUUGUAAAUUAAAUAAAAUUUACCAACAAGUUUAAAAGGAUCACUAUACAAAAUUGACUAAACUCCAUUUUUGCUUUUUAGACAAUUCUGUGAGAAAGGUUUCAACUAACUUUGAAGAGAAUACUCGUUUUUCAAAAGCUUACUUGCACUAAUAGUAACUUGGAUAAACUUGAACGAUACCAGAAUUACAAAGACCGAAAGUUUUGGACUUUGUCCAGGAAAGUUAAAUCCUUAGAAUUAAAGGAAAAUGGUCCCCUGUAAUCAAGCUCCUACCCACAUGAAAAUUGCUUUAGAGGGAAGAAUUCCUCGUCCUAAUGUUGGAAAAAUGCCAACCGAGAAUGAAAAGAUAAGAAAACUUGGUUUGCAGUAAACUAGAAAAUUAAAGAAUCUGUUUUCAUAAAAAACGGAAAAUGUCGCUCGAGCAUGAAUGUCUUGCUGAAAAAUCAAUUAAUCGUUCUUUGAUGAAUAAACCAUUCAAAGGACAAGUAUUUAGUUUAGCCUCCAAUCAUCUUUAUCCUCCUCCUGAUCGAAAAAAAUUGACGAAUCGCGAGGUAAGGGAUGCUGUCGAUAAGAGCGAUCUCUGGUUUUAUAUACCCCCAUGGCAACUUCCGAGGGUAGAAUUUACGUGCCUGAAAUGUCGUCAAAUUUCCAUCAGAAAUACACCCAUGACGGAAAUUAUUUUUAUGGCAAAAAAAAAUUUGGCAUUCAAUGGAAUUUUGGGGGAUUUAAAAAUCUCCAUCCCACAUUUUGGGAAAGCGAAAAUUAAAUCCGUCGUGAUAAUGAAAAAUGCUAGAAAAACGGACAAAAAAAGCAGAAAUAUUGAUAAAAAAAAAGAAAGAGAAAAAAAUGAUAAAUUGCAUUUCGAAAAAUUCCAUUUCGAAUUGUCGCGAUAGUCAACUAAAAACAAUUACAAUCUCGUAUUUAACAUUUUCUCCUUGGAGACGAAACAACAAAAUUUAUACAAAGUUUGUGAAAAAUAAGAAAAUAAAAAAACCUAUAAAAAAUGAAACCCUAAAUUAUUUAAAGUGUGGUGUGUAAUUUUUGAAACAGAUUCCAAAAUGAGCUACUCGGAGAAAAAUGUAGAAUCCACUGAAAUUUUUUUGAAUAAGGGAAGCAAAUGUGAUUGUCCAGGUGGAAAUUGUGGACAAGGAUGCACCAGUGGAUCUAAAAAAUGUAACUGCGAUGACGAAAGUGAAGCCAUCCUGAAAUUUGAUUAUAAAGUGGAAAAAAUAUCGCCAUUUAUGAAGGAUCCUCCGAAGAUAUUGAACACGGAAACAGUACUUUUUAAUUUUAAUUUGCUUUCCGAAUCUAUGACUAACUAAAGUUUAAAAAAAUCUAGGAAUUGUGUAUUCAAAUUUGAUUUAAUCAUCAAUAAAUACAAAAGCAA